RNAcentral lists this ribosomal RNA (700 nucleotides) under uncultured beta proteobacterium. RNAcentral describes it as "bacterial SSU rRNA". It matches the Rfam family "Bacterial small subunit ribosomal RNA", at positions 85 to 779 of the family's 1533-position model. Lineage: Bacteria; Pseudomonadati; Pseudomonadota; Betaproteobacteria. The record is from RNAcentral.
CCCCUCGAGAGUGGCGAACGGGUGAGUAAUAUAUCGGAACGUGCCCAGUCGUGGGGGAUAACGUAGCGAAAGUUACGCUAAUACCGCAUACGAUCUACGGAUGAAAGCGGGGGACUCGCAAGAGCCUCGCGCGAUUGGAGCGGCCGAUAUCAGAUUAGGUAGUUGGUGGGGUAAAGGCUCACCAAGCCAACGAUCUGUAGCUGGUCUGAGAGGACGACCAGCCACACUGGAACUGAGACACGGUCCAGACUCCUACGGGAGGCAGCAGUGGGGAAUUUUGGACAAUGGACGCAAGUCUGAUCCAGCCAUUCCGCGUGCAGGAUGAAGGCCCUCGGGUUGUAAACUGCUUUUGUACGGAACGAAAAGGUCUCUAUUAAUACUAGGGGCUCAUGACGGUACCGUAAGAAUAAGCACCGGCUAACUACGUGCCAGCAGCCGCGGUAAUACGUAGGGUGCAAGCGUUAAUCGGAAUUACUGGGCGUAAAGCGUGCGCAGGCGGUUAUGUAAGACAGAGGUGAAAUCCCCGGGCUCAACCUGGGAACUGCCUUUGUGACUGCAUAGCUAGAGUACGGUAGAGGGGGAUGGAAUUCCGCGUGUAGCAGUGAAAUGCGUAGAUAUGCGGAGGAACACCGAUGGCGAAGGCAAUCCCCUGGACCUGUACUGACGUUCAUGCACGAAAGCGUGGGGAGCAAACAGGAUU